This 388-nucleotide ribosomal RNA is filed under the name uncultured bacterium. Its description in RNAcentral is "bacterial SSU rRNA". It matches the Rfam family "Bacterial small subunit ribosomal RNA", at positions 28 to 417 of the family's 1533-position model. The record is from RNAcentral.
GACGAACGCUGGCGGCGUGCUUAACACAUGCAAGUCGAGCGGUAAGGCCCUUUCGGGGGUACACGAGCGGCGAACGGGUGAGUAACACGUGGGUGACCUGCCCUCAGCUCUGGGAUAAGCCUGGGAAACCGGGUCUAAUACUGGAUAUGACUCCAUGACGCAUGUUGUGGGGUGGAAAGCCUUGUGCGGCUGAGGAUGGGCCCGCGGCCUAUCAGCUUGUUGGUGGGGUGANGGCCUACCAAGGCGACGACGGGUAGCCGGCCUGAGAGGGCGACCGGCCACACUGGGACUGAGACACGGCCCAGACUCCUACGGGAGGCAGCAGUGGGGAAUAUUGGACAAUGGGCGCAAGCCUGAUCCAGCAAUGCCACGUGUGUGAAGAAGGCCU